UUCGUAGGGUGCAAGCGUUGUCCGGAAUUAUUGGGCGUAAAGAGCUCGUAGGCGGUUCGUCGCGUCGGCUGUGAAAUCCCGAGGCUCAACCUCGGGUCUGCAGUCGAUACGGGCGGGCUUGAGUUCGGUAGGGGAGACUGGAAUUCCUGGUGUAGCGGUGAAAUGCGCAGAUAUCAGGAGGAACACCAAUUGCGAAGGCAGCUCGCUGGAACGUAACUGACGCUGAGACGCGAAAGCGUGGGGAGCAAACAGG
Molecule: ribosomal RNA, 253 nt
Filed under: uncultured bacterium
Lineage: Bacteria
Description: partial 16S ribosomal RNA
Rfam family: Bacterial small subunit ribosomal RNA
Source: RNAcentral